UACGUAGGGGGCAAGCGUUGUCCGGAUUCAUUGGGCGUAAAGAGCGUGUAGGCGGCCAGGUAGGUCGGUUGUGAAAACUGGAGGCUCAACCUUCAGAGGUCGACCGAAACCAUCUGGCUAGAGUCCGGGAGAGGAGAGUGGAAUUCCUGGUGUAGCGGUGAAAUGCGCAGAUAUCAGGAAGAACACCCGUGGCGAAAGCGGCUCUCUGGACCAUAACUGACGCUGAGGCGCGAAAGCUAGGGGAGCAAACAGG
RNAcentral lists this ribosomal RNA (253 nucleotides) under uncultured bacterium. RNAcentral's name for it is "partial 16S ribosomal RNA". It matches the Rfam family "Bacterial small subunit ribosomal RNA", at positions 524 to 776 of the family's 1533-position model. The record is from RNAcentral.